RNAcentral lists this ribosomal RNA (253 nucleotides) under uncultured bacterium. RNAcentral describes it as "partial 16S ribosomal RNA". It matches the Rfam family "Archaeal small subunit ribosomal RNA", at positions 474 to 728 of the family's 1478-position model. The record is from RNAcentral.
UACCAGCACCCCGAGUGGUCGGGACGAUUAUUGGGCCUAAAGCAUCCGUAGCCGGUUUUACAAGUCCCCCGUUAAAUCCAGCUGCUUAACAGAUGGGCUGCGGAGGAUACUAUAAGACUAGGAGGCAGGAGAGGCAAGCGGUACUCAGUGGGUAGGGGUAAAAUCCGUUGAUCCAUUGAAGACCACCAGUGGCGAAGGCGGCUUGCCAGAACGCGCUCGACGGUGAGGGAUGAAAGCUGGGGAGCAACCAGGG